RNAcentral lists this ribosomal RNA (836 nucleotides) under uncultured dinoflagellate. RNAcentral's name for it is "SSU rRNA". It matches the Rfam family "Eukaryotic small subunit ribosomal RNA", at positions 52 to 895 of the family's 1831-position model. The record is from RNAcentral. Lineage: Eukaryota; Dinophyceae.
UGCAUGUCUCAGAGUAAGUAUUUUCCCGCGAAGCUGCGAAUGGCUCAUUACCACAGUUAUAGUUUAUGCGGUUGUGGUUCAUUAUAUGAAUAACUAUACCAAUUGUAGAGCUAAUGCAUGCGUGAAGUCCCCACUAUAUUAUGAAGGGGUGUUUUUAUUAGGUACAGAAACUUUCACUGGCUCCGGCCUGACUUGUAGAUGAUUCAUAAUGACUGUACGGAUCGCCAUGAAUUUGGCGACAUUCUGUUCACGUUCCUGACCUAUCAGCUUUCGACGGUAGGGUAUUGUCCUAUCGUGGCGUUGACGGGUAACGGAGAAUUGGGGUUCGAUUCCGGAGGGGGAGCCUGAGAAACGGCUACCACAUCUAAGGAAGGCAGCAGGCGCGUAAAUUACCUUUUUUUGACGCAGGGAGGUAGUGACAAGAAAUAACAAUACAGCGCAUCAAUGUGUUGUGAUUGGAAUGAGUCCCCCUCAAAAGGCUAUGCGAUUAUCAAUUGGAGGGCAAGUCUGGUGCCAGCAGCCGCGGUAAUUCCAGCUCCAAUAGCGUAUAUUAAAGUUGUUGCGGUUAAAAAGCUCGUAGUUGGACUUGUACGAAGGUUCGUUGGUCCGCCCUUUGGGUGUGUACUUUACGAUGUCCGUCGUCUCUCUGGAGAACGUUGCCAUGCUCACGCGUGGUGCGGUAUCCGGAGCAUUUACUUUGAGGAAAUUAGAGUGUUCUCGGCAGGCAUUUGCCUUGAAUAUGUUAGCAUGGAAUAAUGCGAAAAAGGCCUCGGUUUUUCUUGUUGGUUUCUAACCCCCAGGUGAUGAUUAAUAUGAUUUGUUUGGGGGCAUCCUGU